This 465-nucleotide ribosomal RNA is filed under the name Vreelandella stevensii. Its description in RNAcentral is "partial 16S ribosomal RNA". It matches the Rfam family "Bacterial small subunit ribosomal RNA", at positions 338 to 795 of the family's 1533-position model. Lineage: Bacteria; Pseudomonadati; Pseudomonadota; Gammaproteobacteria; Oceanospirillales; Halomonadaceae. The record is from RNAcentral.
CCUACGGGGGGCAGCAGUGGGGAAUAUUGGACAAUGGGCGAAAGCCUGAUCCAGCCAUGCCGCGUGUGUGAAGAAGGCCUUCGGGUUGUAAAGCACUUUCAGUGGGGAAGAAAGCCUUGGGGCUAAUACCCUCGAGGAAGGACAUCACCCACAGAAGAAGCACCGGCUAACUCCGUGCCAGCAGCCGCGGUAAUACGGAGGGUGCGAGCGUUAAUCGGAAUUACUGGGCGUAAAGCGCGCGUAGGCGGUCUGAUAAGCCGGUUGUGAAAGCCCCGGGCUCAACCUGGGAACGGCAUCCGGAACUGUCAGGCUAGAGUGCAGGAGAGGAUGGUAGAAUUCCCGGUGUAGCGGUGAAAUGCGUAGAGAUCGGGAGGAAUACCAGUGGCGAAGGCGGCCUUCUGGACUGACACUGACGCUGAGGUGCGAAAGCGUGGGUAGCAAACAGGAUUAGAUACCCUAGUAGUC